RNAcentral lists this long non-coding RNA (212 nucleotides) under Musa acuminata (dwarf banana). Its description in RNAcentral is "long non-coding RNA (MACU_LNC001940)". Lineage: Eukaryota; Viridiplantae; Streptophyta; Magnoliopsida; Zingiberales; Musaceae. The record is from RNAcentral.
UUUUCAGUAUCCUCAAAUGUUAGUUUGGAUCCUGGAUUGGUUUGUGAUGAAAAUUUUAAUAUCAUCGGUAUUUUUGAGGGGCGUGACAGAGGUGGUAUCAGAGCAUGGUUUGAGGAUUAUUAAAAUAUUUGAUAUGUUGACGUGCAAAAUAUAUUGAGGUCUAAUGAACUAUAGUGAUUGGUGGAAAUUUUCUUUGAUGCAUUUUAGGAAUC